RNAcentral lists this ribosomal RNA (301 nucleotides) under uncultured bacterium. RNAcentral describes it as "partial 16S ribosomal RNA". It matches the Rfam family "Bacterial small subunit ribosomal RNA", at positions 509 to 809 of the family's 1533-position model. The record is from RNAcentral.
CAGUAGCCACGGUAAUACAGAGGGUGCGAGCGUUAAUCGGAUUUACUGGGCGUAAAGCGUGCGUAGGCGGCUUCUUAAGUCGGAUGUGAAAUCCCUGAGCUUAACUUAGGAAUUGCAUUCGAUACUGGGAAGCUAGAGUAUGGGAGAGGAUGGUAGAAUUCCAGGUGUAGCGGUGAAAUGCGUAGAGAUCUGGAGGAAUACCGAUGGCGAAGGCAGCCAUCUGGCCUAAUACUGACGCUGAGGUACGAAAGCAUGGGGAGCAAACAGGAUUAGAUACCCCCGUAGUCCCUGUCUCUUAUAU